Molecule: ribosomal RNA, 460 nt
Filed under: uncultured bacterium
Lineage: Bacteria
Description: partial 16S ribosomal RNA
Rfam family: Bacterial small subunit ribosomal RNA
Source: RNAcentral
CCUACGGGGGGCAGCAGUGAGGAAUAUUGGUCAAUGGCCGAGAGUCUGAACCAGCCAAGCAGCGUGAAGGAUGACUGCGCUAUGGGUUGUAAACUUCUUUUAUCUGGGAAUAAAACGUUCCACGUGUGGGGUUUUGUAUGUACCAGAUGAAUAAGGAUCGGCUAACUCCGUGCCAGCAGCCGCGGUAAUACGGAGGAUCCGAGCGUUAUCCGGAUUUAUUGGGUUUAAAGGGGGCGUAGGUGGAUUGUUAAGUAAGUUGUGAAAGUGUGCGGCUCAACCCUAGAAUUGCAGUUGAAACUGGCGGUCUUGAGUACAGUAGAGGUGGGCGGAAUGCGUGGUGUAGCGGUGAAAUGCUUAGAUAUCGCGAAGAACUCCGAUUGCGAAGGCAGUUCACUGGACUGCAACUGACACUGAGGCUCGAAAGUGUGGGUAUCAAACAGGAUUAGAUACCCGAGUAGUC